RNAcentral lists this unclassified non-coding RNA (320 nucleotides) under Hevea brasiliensis (rubber tree). Lineage: Eukaryota; Viridiplantae; Streptophyta; Magnoliopsida; Malpighiales; Euphorbiaceae. The record is from RNAcentral.
GAUGAAGUUUAUGCACAAAUGACACUGCAGCCAGUUCCUUCAUUUGAUAAGGAGGCAUUGUUGAGAUCAGAUUUGUCUAUGAAAGCAAAUAAACCACAAACAGAAUUUUUUUGCAAGACCUUGACUGCCAGUGAUACAAGCACACAUGGGGGUUUUUCCGUCCCUCGACGUUCUGCAGAAAAAAUAUUCCCGCCUCUGGAUUACUCAAUGCAACCACCUGCUCAAGAACUUGUGGCUAGAGACUUGCAUGAUAAUUUGUGGACCUUCCGCCAUAUUUAUCGCGGGCAACCCAAACGCCAUUUGCUAACGACAGGGUGGAG